RNAcentral lists this ribosomal RNA (854 nucleotides) under Paratrichodorus allius. RNAcentral describes it as "SSU rRNA". It matches the Rfam family "Eukaryotic small subunit ribosomal RNA", at positions 93 to 956 of the family's 1831-position model. Lineage: Eukaryota; Metazoa; Nematoda; Enoplea; Triplonchida; Trichodoridae. The record is from RNAcentral.
AAAGCUCAUUACAACAGCCAUAGUUUAUUGGAUCUUUACCUUCUUACACGGAUAACUGCGGUAAUUCUGGAGCUACUACGUGCAUUAAACGACGACCUUACGGAAGUCGUGCAUUUGUUAGACCAAACCAAUCGGUCUUCGGACCGCCAUUUGGUGAACUCUGAAUAACUUUGCUGAUCGCACAGUCUCGUACUGGCGACAAAUCUUUCAAGUGUCUGCCUUAUCAACUUUCGAUGGUAGUUUAUACGCCUACCAUGGUUGUAACGGGUAACGGAGAAUAAGGGUUCGACUCCGGAGAGGGAGCCUGAGAAACGGCUACCACAUCCGAGGAAGGCAGCAGGCGCGCAAAUUACCCACUCGCAGAACGCGGAGGUAGUGACGAAAAAUAACGAGGUGGCUCUCUACGAGGUCCGCCAUCGGAAUGGGUACAAUUUAAAUCCUUUAACGAGGAUCUAUUGGAGGGCAAGUCUGGUGCCAGCAGCCGCGGUAAUUCCAGCUCCAAUAGCGUAUAUUAAAGUUGUUGCGGUUAAAAAGCUCGUAGUUGGAUCUGCGUUCGGUGAAAGCGGUCGCCCGACGGGUUGUACUGCUUCUCCCGAACUAAUCAUUCGGUUUUCCCUUGAUGCUCUUCAUUGAGUGUCCUGGGUGACCGGAACUUUUACUUUGAAAAAAUUAGAGUGCUCAAAGCAGGCGAUUCGCCCGAAUAUUCGUGCAUGGAAUAAUGAAAAAGGUCCUUGUAGCCUUUUAUUGGUUAUUGCUAUGAGGAAAUGAUCGAAGGGGACAGACGGGGCAUUUGUAUUGCGACGUUAGAGGUGAAAUUCUUGGAUCGUCGCAGACAAACUACUGCGAAAGCAUGU